RNAcentral lists this ribosomal RNA (468 nucleotides) under uncultured bacterium. Its description in RNAcentral is "partial 16S ribosomal RNA". It matches the Rfam family "Bacterial small subunit ribosomal RNA", at positions 28 to 507 of the family's 1533-position model. The record is from RNAcentral.
GACGAACGCUGGCGGCGUGCUUAACACAUGCAAGUCGAACGGAAAGGCCCUGCUUUUGUGGGGUGCUCGAGUGGCGAACGGGUGAGUAACACGUGAGUAACCUGCCCUUGACUUCGGGAUAACUUCAGGAAACUGGGGCUAAUACCGGAUAGGAGCUCCUGCUGCAUGGUGGGGGUUGGAAAGUUUCGGCGGUUGGGGAUGGACUCGCGGCUUAUCAGCUUGUUGGUGGGGUAGUGGCUUACCAAGGCUUUGACGGGUAGCCGGCCUGAGAGGGUGACCGGCCACAUUGGGACUGAGAUACGGCCCAGACUCCUACGGGAGGCAGCAGUGGGGAAUAUUGCACAAUGGGCGGAAGCCUGAUGCAGCAACGCCGCGUGCGGGAUGACGGCCUUCGGGUUGUAAACCGCUUUCGCCUGUGACGAAGCGUGAGUGACGGUAAUGGGCAAAGAAGCACCGGCUAACUACGUG